CCCUUAGAUGUCCUGGGCCGCACGCGCGCUACACUGAGUGUCUGAGAUACGAGUCUGCCUGGUCCGGCAAGGUCUAGGUAAUCGCUAAAAGACACAUCAUGCUUGGGAUAGAUUAUUGCAAAUAUUAAUCUUGAACGAGGAAUUCCUAGUAAACGCAAGUCAUCAGCUUGCAUUGAUUACGUCCCUGCCCUUUGUACACACCGCCCGUCGCUCCUACCGAUUGAAUGUUCCGAUGAAUACCAUGGACUGAGAGUAUGAAUGGGUUCGCUUAUUUCUGCUUCUCGGGAAGUGGAGUAAAUCUUAACAUUUAGAGGAAGGAGAAGUCGUAACA
This 331-nucleotide ribosomal RNA is filed under the name uncultured eukaryote. RNAcentral describes it as "partial 18S ribosomal RNA". It matches the Rfam family "Eukaryotic small subunit ribosomal RNA", at positions 1470 to 1796 of the family's 1831-position model. The record is from RNAcentral.